RNAcentral lists this long non-coding RNA (3305 nucleotides) under Salmo salar (Atlantic salmon). RNAcentral describes it as "lncRNA (ENSSSAG00000097884.1)". The record is from RNAcentral. Lineage: Eukaryota; Metazoa; Chordata; Actinopteri; Salmoniformes; Salmonidae.
GAGAGUAGCAGCAGUGUAAAAACAAAGGGGCAGGGGAUAGACAGUACAGUGCAUUCGGAAAGUAUUCAAACCCCUCGACUUAUUCCACAUUUAGUUGUGGUACAGCCUGAAUUCAAAAUGGAUUAAAUAGAUUAUUUUUCUCACCUAUCUACACACAAUAUGCAUGUUCAUUUUCACAUAAACAUUUUGGUAAAUUAGCAGACCUGUAUAUCCAGAGUGUUUUGCUCAACUAAGGUAGUUAAACCACAACAUAUCACAGUCAUAGCAAGUAAAACGUCCCUGUAACGGUUAGUGACAACGUUGUUGCUGUUCGGGCUGGCUGCUGUAACGUCCAGUCCAGUAUGGGUUGACGGCAAAGAGAGAAGAUGGCAGGGUCUGAUUUUCCAUGGCACCAAGAACGUCCAUUUGACAUUGUGGCUUGGGGAAGUUGUUUUCCCUUCUCCUGACUAAUUCAUGGGUCCAAAUGAGUGAACUGAGCCUGGACACAUGCAGGACACGAGACCUGAGACUAAUGGAUCGAAACACUGGUCGACCGCAGAGGCCGGGGAAACCAAAAGCAAUUUCCUACUCGAUGGUUCUGGCACACACCGUGCCAAGAUGGGCGACAGUGGAGAGGUGUGCGUAACCAGCACCAAAAGUCAACGAGUCACUGAGACAGCUGCUGACUAUUUUAUGCCCUAAUCCAACUACAAUAGAAUAGAAUAAAAGGUGAUUUGUCAAUAAAAACUCUAACAUUACAGGCGUCAGAAAAUUAGAAUAGCGUGACAUUGGCCAAAAAUAGUUCCUGACAACAUUGUGACUGGGACAGAUUAGUUAGGAUCUCAUCUCUUCCCUCUAGGCCUACUCUUGAGCUGACAGAGGUGCGUGCUUUAAAAUCUGAGUUUGGGAUGUUCCUGAACCCAUUGUGUUCUGGGACAGACGAGUUAGUAGUAAGAAGCCUGAUGGAGGUGCGUGGUGCAGGAGUUGUGCAGGCAGCCAGGCACGGCCCACCUUGGCCAGUAUACCAUGAUCAGACUCACCUCCGGCCCAGUUCCACACUAACAAGAGGAUUAUGUCCCAGACACAGAGGCAGGGAGCAAAGGACACAAUCAGACUUAAUUGUAUGGUCCUCUGAGACCAACACCACUAGACAGAGAGAGAGUGAAAGAGAGCGACAGAGCGAAAGAGAGGCACAUAGAGAGAGAGACAGAGGGCGAGUGGGAAAGAGAACGAGAGAGCCAUGUAGAAGUAAAAUAUUUUAAUGUAGAGGACAAUAUAUUUACCACCUGCCAAGACAGAGCUUCAUACUAUAUUGAUGAUAAUAUGUAUUCAGACGCAUCAUCUGUGCUAGAAGCCAUCCACAUGGCAAGGGAGCGAAUGCUGGUAGAAAUGAUUUAUAGAAGAUUUAUAGAAGACAGAGGGUCACUGGUCAUAGAGAUUGAGCCAGAGCUACACUACCGUAACAACACCAUGUAUAUACAUGUAUCACGAGUGAUUGUCCCAGUUCAUGUGUUGUAUAUGUUAUAUGUGAUCUGGAAUUGUGUGAGUUUAUGUGUUUUCUGAUGUACGUAUGUAUGGUUUAGUGCUUGUUUGUGUGCCUAUAGGUUUAGGGCUCUGCAUGCAGGACAGAGAUAAAGGUUGUUUACUUGCUUUAGUGUGUGUGCCUGCGUGUGUCUGAGCGUGUACGUGUGUGUGUCUAAGCGUGUGUGUGCGCGUGUGUCUGAGUGUGUCUGUACCUGCCUGUGCUUAUGUUUUCCCUAGAUACACCGUCCUUUUUAAUCCAUGUCCUUUGGCGACAGUGCGGUUGCCAUGGCAGCAGGGCGAGGAGCCUGUCUACCCCUCAUAGGCACGCCCUACACACACCUGUUGCUAUUAGGCUAAUAGGGGCCGGUGGAGUGGGCUGUGCUGGAGUGGGGUGGGCUGGCCUGCUCCUAGGGGCCAUCUGUACUACUUGCAAGCCUGGGGGUCCCCUGAAAAGAGGGGUCUGGGACUGGGAGAUGUAACUCACACCACACAGAAGAUCUCAGGCCCAGCAGAUGUCUGAAGCAGUGUGCAAAGCUGUGAGAAACACCAAGCCCCAACACACCCUCUUCAGAGCUAAAGCACACCCACCAUCUCUGGUAGGUCUCAUCAAUAUGCCUGAGGACUGAAUAACUAAAGGUUUUUAACUGGGAUAAAACACACAAUUACCCCCGGACAAAGGAACUCAAUGUCAUUGUUGGAAGCUGACUAAUUGACUUGAGCAUGUUUUUGUAUGUUUCUAAUCACAUAACAAAGGGGGCCUGUCUCUGUUUCCAUAACGGUGAGAUGGGAGGCAUGUGUUAGAGAUAGAUUGUAAACUACUGCCCUAUGACGCUGUCUUAUAGCGUCAACAUUUGUAUAUAAUUAUAUUCUCUCAAUAUGUUAUAGCUUCACUGUUAUAUAUCACUAUAUUCUCUCAAUAUGUUUUAGCUUCACUGUUAUGCAUCACUAUAUUCUCUCAAUAUGUUUUAGCUUCACUGUUAUACAUCCCUAUAUUCUCUCAAUAUGUUUUGCAUCAUUGUAUUCAUUUGAGUACGAAUGGGUCUCUUAUUCUCCAAUAGCUCUUUGCAUAUGAGUCCGGAUAAUUAACGAUGGAGUUGGGCAGGCUGCAGGAAUGUAUACUCCCUAGUCUCAAAGCUUCUCCUGACUGAUAAGAAGACAGGGACUUGCGUGGAGGAGUACUAAAGGUUCCAGACUCAGGCUGGGACGAUAACACCACCUGCCAAGCCACAGAGAUUCAUUGUACAUCCUAGACUCAGGAGGGGGAGGACUUGUCUGGGACAAGGGUACAAACAGAGGUUAUAAAUAUAUGUGCGUGUAUAAUCAUACUUCGUCUUUGCAGCUGUAUGACCCAGUGCGGUUGAAUAAAUCUAGCUCGAGCACUCUUCAGAGUCCGACUGGAAUUUACACCAGAAUCUUGGAACCUAACAGCAUAUUUAAAGAAGCUGACAUAUAUUUAGACACAAGUUAUGAUGCAAUGUCAAUAUGAUCAAACACGUGUUAACCCUAAGCUACAAAGAAAAAUGAUCAACUGACAUUAAGCUAAAACCAAAACUCUGAACUUACAACCAGAUCAAAAACAGCUACGAUCCAGAACUUUAUGUCACCUCCAACCUAACCGUGUGUGCCCAGUUGAGAACCGGGAUACUGCCCCCGUUAUUGAAGUAGGUAGUUCAAUGCCAUAGAUGAAUAAGAGCGACAAUCUACAGUCUGUGAUUUAGGGGAAGUAGAGAAUGAACUGCACUUUUUAUUUUAUUGUACUUCAUAUGAUGAUUUGCGAGCUAUACUGUAAAAUGUUGCAUUGA